AUUAACGGCUUCUGUUACGAUCGACCCGUCUCAGUCAGGGAAUCCGGUGGGAGUCCGGGACUGACGCGCAACGGUGAGGGAAAAAUCCCGAGUCCGAAUGCUGGCUGGGACGAGCGACCUGGC
RNAcentral lists this non-coding RNA (123 nucleotides) under Arachnia propionica. Lineage: Bacteria; Bacillati; Actinomycetota; Actinomycetes; Propionibacteriales; Propionibacteriaceae. The record is from RNAcentral.